AUUGAACGCUGGCGGCAUGCCUUACACAUGCAAGUCGAACGGCAGCACGGGUGCUUGCCCCUGGUGGCGAGUGGCGAACGGGUGAGUAGUACAUCGGAACAUGUCCUGUAGUGGGGGAUAGCCCGGCGAAAGCCGGAUUAAUACCGCAUACGAUCUACGGAUGAAAGCGGGGGACCUUCGGGCCUCGCGCUAUAGGGUUGGCCGAUGGCUGAUUAGCUAGUUGGUGGGGUAAAGGCCUACCAAGGCGACGAUCAGUAGCUGGUCUGAGAGGACGACCAGCCACACUGGGACUGAGACACGGCCCAGACUCCUACGGGAGGCAGCAGUGGGGAAUUUUGGACAAUGGGCGAAAGCCUGAUCCAGCAAUGCCGCGUGUGUGAAGAAGGCCUUCGGGUUGUAAAGCACUUUUGUCCGGAAAGAAAUCCUUGGCCCUAAUACGGUCGGGGGAUGACGGUACCGGAAGAAUAAGCACCGGCUAACUACGUG
RNAcentral lists this ribosomal RNA (486 nucleotides) under uncultured bacterium. RNAcentral describes it as "partial 16S ribosomal RNA". It matches the Rfam family "Bacterial small subunit ribosomal RNA", at positions 30 to 507 of the family's 1533-position model. The record is from RNAcentral.